Molecule: ribosomal RNA, 513 nt
Filed under: Triticum aestivum (bread wheat)
Lineage: Eukaryota; Viridiplantae; Streptophyta; Magnoliopsida; Poales; Poaceae
Description: partial small subunit ribosomal RNA
Source: RNAcentral
AUGAGGAUGGAGAUUCCGACUGUCUCUGGUGCUGCUACUUCCGAGACUUCAGCCAGGCAUGAGGAUCAAGAAAUGGAAGAUGCUGUGACUUCUCAGCCUGCUCUGCCUAACGUUGUCAUCAAUCUUCCUGACAAUGACGACGAAGCGCCUCUGAGGCAGAGGAGGAGCAGGAAGGCGACUGUUGGCAAGGCUGCGCAGGUUAUGUCAGCACCUGGACCACAUAUUCCCGAGGGGGGCAAUGUUGCUCGGGCUACCGUGUCCUUUGCGGAGCCGUUGACGGUUGCCCGCCCUUCGUCGUGGAGUGCUGACCCGCCUUCUCUCUUCUCCACCUACCACGUCCUGGAGGACCAAGCAAGCGCUGCUAAGGAAGCCAUACGCCAGGCCGGAAUUAUGAUGGAGCAGGUGAAGGCGAUCCGAACCGCCAGCCAAGCAGCUUAUGACGCGAGCUCAGCUCUCCAGAGCAAUGUCCAGUCAACUGCUUCCGGUCGACUGGUCGACUCUGAGUCUAGCUGA